RNAcentral lists this ribosomal RNA (315 nucleotides) under uncultured eukaryote. Its description in RNAcentral is "partial 18S ribosomal RNA". It matches the Rfam family "Eukaryotic small subunit ribosomal RNA", at positions 1470 to 1796 of the family's 1831-position model. The record is from RNAcentral.
CCCCUAGACGUUCUGGGCUGCACGCGCGCUACACUGACGCACGCAACAGGUGCCUGCUCCGAGAGGACUGGGUAAUCAUUUGAGUGUGCGUCGUGAUGGGGAUAGAAUAUUGUAAUUAUUACUCUUCAACGAGGAAUUCCUAGUAAGCGCCAGUCAGCAGCUUGCGCUGAUUACGUCCCUGCCCUUUGUACACACCGCCCGUCGCUCCUACCGAUGGGUGAUCCGGUGAAUGAUUCGGACUUCAGCGGCUCCCCUGGGGUGCGCCGGAGAAAGUUUUGUGAACCUUAUCACUUGGAGGAAGGAGAAGUCGUAACA